RNAcentral lists this ribosomal RNA (439 nucleotides) under uncultured bacterium. RNAcentral describes it as "bacterial SSU rRNA". It matches the Rfam family "Bacterial small subunit ribosomal RNA", at positions 338 to 795 of the family's 1533-position model. The record is from RNAcentral.
CCUACGGGGGGCAGCAGUGGGGAAUAUUGCACAAUGGGGGAAACCCUGAUGCAGCAACGCCGCGUGAGCGAAGAAGGCCUUCGGGUCGUAAAGCUCUGUCCUAAGGGAAGAAGCAUGACGGUACCUUAGGAGGAAGCCCCGGCUAACUACGUGCCAGCAGCCGGGGUAAUACGUAGGGGGCGAGCGUUAUCCGGACUCACUGGGCGUAAAGGGUGCGUAGGCGGCCAAUUAAGCAAGAGGUGAAAGGCUACGGCCCAACCGUAGUAAGCCUUGGAACUGGAUGGAUUGAGUGCCGGAGAGGGGAGUUGAAUUCCGAGUGUAGCGGUGAAAUGCGUAGAUAUUAGGAGGAUCGCCAGUGGCGAAGGCGACUCUCUGGACUGUAACUGACGCUGAGGCACGAAAGCGUGGGGAGCAAACAGGAUUAGAUACCCCGGUAGUC